GGCCGGGUCCUGCGCAACGGGAGGCCGGCGAACCCGGUCAGGUCCGAGAGGAAGCAGCCGCAGUUGGCUCUCUCCGUGUGAUGCAGGCCGCCCGGUUUUC
Molecule: signal recognition particle RNA, 100 nt
Filed under: Candidatus Hydrogenedentota bacterium
Lineage: Bacteria; Pseudomonadati; Candidatus Hydrogenedentota
Description: signal recognition particle sRNA small type
Rfam family: Bacterial small signal recognition particle RNA
About the family: The signal recognition particle (SRP) is a universally conserved ribonucleoprotein involved in the co-translational targeting of proteins to membranes.
Source: RNAcentral